UAUUGCACAAUGGGGGUAACCCUGAUGCAGCGACGCCGCGUGAGUGAAGAAGUAUUUCGGUAUGUAAAGCUCUAUCAGCAGGGAAGAAAAUGACGGUACCUGAUUAAGAAGCCCCGGCUGACUACGUGCCAGCAGCCGCGGUAAUACGUAGGGGGCAAGCGUUAUCCGGAUUUACUGGGUGUAAAGGGAGCGUAGACGGCAGCACAAGUCUGGAGUGAAAUGCCGGGGCUUAACCCCGGGACUGCAUUGGAAACUGUUGAACUGGAGUACAGGAGAGGUAAGCGGAAUUCCUAGUGUAGCGGUGAAAUGCGUAGAUAUUAGGAGGAACACCAGUGGCGAAGGCGGCUUACUGGACUGUAACUGACGUUGAGGCUCGAAAGCGUGGGGAGCAAACAGG
Molecule: ribosomal RNA, 397 nt
Filed under: uncultured bacterium
Lineage: Bacteria
Description: bacterial SSU rRNA
Rfam family: Bacterial small subunit ribosomal RNA
Source: RNAcentral